AUAUGCUUGUCUCAAAGACUAAGCCAUGCAUGUCUAAGUAUAAAUGCUUCUAUACUGUGAAACUGCGAAUGGCUCAUUAAAUCAGUUAUAGUUUAUUUGAUGGUUCCUUACUACUUGGAUAACCGUAGUAAUUCUAGAGCUAAUACAUGCACAAAGUCCCGACUUCUGGAAGGGAUGUAUUUAUUAGAUCCAAAACCAGCGCGAGUCCUCCGGGGCUCGGUUGCUUGGUGAUUCAUGAUAACUUCUCGAACCGUAUGGCCCUCGUGCUGACGGUGCUUCAUUCAAAUUUCUGCCCUAUCAACUUUCGAUGGUACGGUAGUGGCCUACCAUGGUUGCAACGGGUGACGGAGAAUUAGGGUUCGAUUCCGGAGAGGGAGCCUGAGAAACGGCUACCACAUCCAAGGAAGGCAGCAGGCGCGCAAAUUACCCAAUCCCGACUCGGGGAGGUAGUGACAAUAAAUAACAAUGCCGGGCUAUCGUAGUCUGGCAAUUGGAAUGAGUACAAUCUAAACCCCUUAACGAGGAACAAUUGGAGGGCAAGUCUGGUGCCAGCAGCCGCGGUA
This 563-nucleotide ribosomal RNA is filed under the name Tethytimea authia. RNAcentral's name for it is "SSU rRNA". It matches the Rfam family "Eukaryotic small subunit ribosomal RNA", at positions 26 to 581 of the family's 1831-position model. Lineage: Eukaryota; Metazoa; Porifera; Demospongiae; Tethyida; Tethyidae. The record is from RNAcentral.